UGUUUUUCUGAUAACAGCCAUCCUGACAGGAUUCUUGCAACUAUAUGUCUAGCUGACCAAAACCAAGUCAAAUGAUGAUGCCUAAAAAUAUGAGUUCUGCCUUCUACUUGUAGGAGAACAAAUGAAGAGAUGAGCUGUCACAUAUAUAUGAUGAAGCCUGGAAAGCAGAUGUGGCAAUGACUCAGCAUUAACCUUUAGAUGAGGAUGACACCUUAGAAGAUAAACACCUUAGAAGACCAAGAGAGACUAGGAAAUAGAUUUUUACAGUGAAUUACUCACUGGAACACCAUGUGUGGAUAUGGUGUUAGACUGUAAAGUCAAUGCAUAAGACAAAAAUCCAUUCAGGGUCAGCCGUAAAAAGGAAUGAAGUACUGAUACAUGCUACAGUGUGGACCAACCUUCAAAACGUUACGCUAAGUGAAGGAAAAGUGACAAAAAAGUCACUUGUAUGAUUCCAUUUUUAUGUAAUGUUCAGAAUAGGUAAAUCUAUAGAGACAGAAAAAGUAGAUUAGUGAUUGGCAGGGGCUGGAAGAGGUAAAGGGGUAGAGAGUAACUGCAGAUGUGUACCAAGCUUUUUUUUUUAGGGUGAUGAAAAUGUCCUGAUAUUAGAAGCAGUGGUUGUGCCACGCCACCAAAAUGUAAAGGGUGAAUUUUAUAGACUGUGAAUAUUUCAAAAAAUUCAUUUAAGCUUAAUUGCCCUUGAAAGUCCUUCUCAGAGGGGCUAAUACAACUAGUUUUAGCUCUAGUGUAAAAAUGUUGCCUUUUUAACUCUUAUUUUGAGCUCUGUUCCCCCCAAAAUAUAACUUGAGUCAUAUUUGUAUGGGAUUCUCACCUAAAGGGAUUGAGAUCGAAGGUAUUCAAAAGGGAACGUGUAUGUCUGCGGAUACACGAGGGAUUUCCAAGAGGUGCUCAGGCACCAAUACUUUUAAGGGGGUGAAUUCCCGGAUCCUCAACUUGCACGUUAUCUUUUCUAAACUGAUUUGUGGCUAAGCUGUCACGAUAUCCUUUUAUACUUUCCUUCCUCCCACCUCUCAAUUUACAGGAGGAAGGCAUACCUCUUGCCUGUCAUAAAUCCUUACCACAGUAAAAACCUCAAGGUGCCAAACAAUCCGACAGAUUCGAGAUACUGGUGUUGGGGAAGCCUCCUGUAUGAAGUCAAGGUAGCAUAAAACCACGAUGUGGCGUUGUAUUUCUCCUUGCUAUUUCUGGCAAAUAAUUCGGAAGGAAUCCAAGCCAAUUCCGUGACACGAGAAUAGAAUCCCUUUCAUUCACUUCUACUUAUGAGGAACAAGCUAGAAAAAGGAAGCUA
Molecule: long non-coding RNA, 1309 nt
Organism: Canis lupus familiaris (dog)
Lineage: Eukaryota; Metazoa; Chordata; Mammalia; Carnivora; Canidae
Exons: 3
Source: RefSeq, a predicted model, not a curated record